GAUGAACGCUGGCGGCGUGCCUAAUACAUGCAAGUCGAGCGAAUGGAUUAAGAGCUUGCUCUUAUGAAGUUAGCGGCGGACGGGUGAGUAACACGUGGGUAACCUGCCCAUAAGACUGGGAUAACUCCGGGAAACCGGGGCUAAUACCGGAUAACAUUUUGAACCGCAUGGUUCGAAAUUGAAAGGCGGCUUCGGCUGUCACUUAUGGAUGGACCUGCGUCGCAUUAGCUAGUUGGUGAGGUAACGGCUCACCAAGGCAACGAUGCGUAGCCGACCUGGGGGGGUGAUCGGCCACGCUGGGACUGAGACACGGCCCAGACUCAUACGGGAGGCAGCAGUAGGGAAUCUUCCGCAAUGGACGAAAGUCUGACGGAGCAACGCCGCGUGAGUGAUGAAGGCUUUCGGGUCGUAAAACUCUGUUGUUAGGGAAGAACAAGUGCUAGUUGAAUAAGCUGGCACCUUGACGGUACCUAACCAGAAAGCCACGGCUAACUACGUGCCAGCCGCCGCCGUAA
RNAcentral lists this ribosomal RNA (515 nucleotides) under uncultured bacterium. RNAcentral's name for it is "partial 16S ribosomal RNA". It matches the Rfam family "Bacterial small subunit ribosomal RNA", at positions 28 to 523 of the family's 1533-position model. The record is from RNAcentral.